GACGAACGCUGGCGGCGUGCCUAAUACAUGCAAGUUGAGCGCUGAAGGUUGGUACUUUUACCGACUGGAUGAGCAGCGAACGGGUGAGUAACGCGUGGGGAAUCUGCCUUUGAGCGGGGGACAACAUUUGGAAACGAAUGCUAAUACCGCAUAAAAACUUUAAACACAAGUUUUAAGUUUGAAAGAUGCAAUUGCAUCACUCAAAGAUGAUCCCGCGUUGUAUUAGCUAGUUGGUGAGGUAAAGGCUCACCAAGGCGAUGAUACAUAGCCGACCUGAGAGGGUGAUCGGCCACAUUGGGACUGAGACACGGCCCAAACUCCUACGGGAGGCAGCAGUAGGGAAUCUUCGGCAAUGGACGAAAGUCUGACCGAGCAACGCCGCGUGAGUGAAGAAGGUUGUCGGAUCGUAAAACUCGGUUGGUAGAGAAGAACGUUGGUGAGAGUGGAAAGCUCAUCAAGUGACGGUAACUACCCAGAAAGGGACGGCUAACUACGUG
This 497-nucleotide ribosomal RNA is filed under the name uncultured bacterium. RNAcentral's name for it is "partial 16S ribosomal RNA". It matches the Rfam family "Bacterial small subunit ribosomal RNA", at positions 28 to 507 of the family's 1533-position model. The record is from RNAcentral.